GGCUCAUUAAAUCAGUUAUCGUUUAUUUGAUAGUACCUUACUACUUGGAUAACCGUGGUAAUUCUAGAGCUAAUACAUGCUAAAAAUCCCGACUUCGGAAGGGAUGUAUUUAUUAGAUUAAAAACCAAUGCCCUUCGGGGCUCACUGGUGAUUCAUAAUAACUUUUCGAAUCGCAUGGCCUUGCGCCGGCGAUGGUUCAUUCAAAUUUCUGCCCUAUCAACUUUCGACGGCUGGGUCUUGGCCAGCCAUGGUGACAACGGGUAACGGAGGGUUAGGGCUCGACCCCGGAGAAGGAGCCUGAGAGACGGCUACUACAUCCAAGGAAGGCAGCAGGCGCGCAAAUUACCCAAUCCCGACACGGGGAGGUAGUGACAAUAAAUACUGAUACAGGGCUCUUUAGGGUCUUGUAAUUGGAAUGAGUACAAUUUAAAUCCCUUAACGAGGAACAAUUGGAGGGCAAGUCUGGUGCCAGCAGCCGCGGUAAUUCCAGCUCCAAUAGCGUAUAUUAAAGUUGUUGCAGUUAAAAAGCUCGUAGUUGAACCUUGGGCCUGGCUGGCCGGUCCGCCUCACCGCGUGCACUGGUCCGGCCGGGUCUUUCCCUCUGGGGAACCGCAUGCCCUUCACUGGGUGUGCUGGGGAACCAGGACUUUUACUUUGAAAA
Molecule: ribosomal RNA, 661 nt
Filed under: Thyridium pluriloculosum
Lineage: Eukaryota; Fungi; Ascomycota; Sordariomycetes; Thyridiales; Thyridiaceae
Description: SSU rRNA
Rfam family: Eukaryotic small subunit ribosomal RNA
Source: RNAcentral